Long non-coding RNA from Equus caballus (horse), 4677 nucleotides. NCBI's taxonomy places the organism in Eukaryota, Metazoa, Chordata, Mammalia, Perissodactyla, Equidae. The record is from Ensembl.
GGAGCGGUGGCGCGGGGGCUGGGGAGGGGCUAAAGAGAAGGGGGGUCUCUUCGCCCCAUCCCCUCCCUCUCUGACUGUCCGAGCCCUGAGUGCCUCCCCAGAAGGGGUCGAGGGAAUGUUGUGGGCUGGGACACACUGGGGAGGUCACAAACUGGAGCAAGCGCCAGACGUCGCCGGGGACCCAGGGCCCUCUCCUUCCAGUUCCCCAGGCCCAGCGGCCCCGCUGGCCACUCCCUCUAUAGCGCCCACUCUGCCCCGGGCGUCCCUGGGCUAGCAGCCUGGCCCUUUGACCCGGGCACUUGGAAGUCCUCUCUCCGGAUCACUGCUUCGGCCGGCACUUUGGGGAGGGUGCUCCCGAGUCCUGCUUCCCGGGCGCUCGCUCUGGAUCAGGCGCCUGCGCCCUCAGGGGGCGCCCCCCACACCCCGACUGCGGAGUUUGCGCCUCUCCUAGGACCGCUUGAGAGAAGGACAAACUUUUAAGUGGAUCAAAAUCAAGAGGAGCCCGUCCAGAGCAGGAUUGAUGGAGUUAACAGUCAGCAGCUUGGCAAGGCUCCCCUAAGCGUGUAGGGGGAGCUGUGGACCCAGCCCCGACUUCUCAAGCUGGGGGAACAGCCCCAUUUCUGGGUCCUUGAAAUUGACCCCCAAGUUGAGGGCAGUUGAGAGAGGACAGCUGUGCUGCCACAGGAAAGAAGUCCCCACUUGGGGAGGGGGCAGUCUUAUGCCACAUGCCUUUUGCAGAGAGAGGCUUUAGAAACAAAGGAAGCUAGAAAGAAGGUCGAGGAAACAGCACAAAGGACUGGAAAAGUUGAGAACCACAAAGAGAAAAGACUGAUGAAGAAAAGAUUUGAGAAAGCCCCAAUGCUUGGGGCAGAGGCAGCAGCUCCAGCAGGGCAGGAGGAGAGAGAUGAAUGUGGAGGAAUACUGAUAAAGGACAGAACCAAGAAGCAGGAUUAGUUUGUUUUCUGAGAGAAAAAAGCAGAAAGGAAGAAAAGAGAAAGAAAGAAAGAAAAAUAGAGAAAAGCGAAAUAGGGAAAAUAGAGAAAGCAAAUGAAUGAAAGGAGGGAGCUAGAAAUGAAAAGAAAAAAGAAAUGCAAGAGAGAAAGAGAAAGAGAGCUGGGUAGGAAAGAGGAAGAAUAGGAAAAAAAGAAGGAAGGGAAUAUGAAGGAAGACUAUAGAGAGAAAAAAGUGAAGGGAGAGGAGAAAGAACACAAAAUAAGGAAGGAAAAAUGAGAAAUAAAGAUAGAGAGAAAGCGGAAACAAAGAAAAGGAGAGAGAAAAAAUUUGGGUUAAUAGAACGGGGUCGGAUUGGGGAGGAGCGGUGGGAGGAACGAGUAGGGUGGAGGAUGAGCAGGGAGAGGCCGGAGAGUGCAGGGUCUCCCAGGUACCCCGGCUGUUGCCUUCCUGACCCGCCGCCACCACCACUGCCCCAGCCCCAGCGCCCACCCAGGCGUCUGCAGCCGGCGCCACCAGGGAGGUGCAGGCGGAGGCCGGCCUCCUGCAACCAGCUUCUCCGAGAAGCAGCUGAUGGCGCUGGAGAAGGAGUUCCUCCCGCGGCCCCACCUGCCUGGGGCGGCAGCCUCGAGGCUCCGCAGGUCAAGAUCGGGUUCCAAAACCAGCGCAUGAAGCAGAAGAGGUGGCUUAGAGAGGCGGCAGUGGGGAACUCGCCCUUGCUCAGGCUCCUCACCCCCAGCCACAGCGCCUCUACUCUGACCCUGCGGGCAAAGGCUGUCUGGAGCCUGGGCCGCUUUGUUCUGCAAUGCUCUGGCUCUGUGACCUCGGACCUCAGUUUGGUCAUAGGUCAAAUGAGCCCUUUCCACUGGAGGGCUCUUCUGUAAUUUUGGAGAGCCUGCCUCUAAGCGCAGGAGAGAGGGGAGUGAAGAUAAGGCCUGGUCCCCUCUGGGGAGGGCCACUUAAUUUUCUUCCUUGGUGAGAAGAAAAAUCUUCCUCCUUUGCCAUCCUUAUCUCCAUCCCUGCCCAGUAAACUACCUCCCAGGGCCAGGAGUUGCCCCACGCAGAGAGGGUAGGAUUAAUCCAUAAAGAGCCUGGAGUGAGGUUUACGAGUACCAGAGGUGCCAGAGAAAGAAUCUCAUUCUUGAACAAGAAUGAGGACGUUCCCUCCUCGGUCAAGUGGACUUCAGCUUUGUAGUGUGUUUCACUGAACUCAUACUCACAAAGAGGUUAAUUGGCAAAAUGGCUUUAGAUUAAGCCUGGAGAGAUCAGCGUGGGGGUGCGUGUGUCUAUAGCCUGUUGGGCCUGCGCUCCCACGCCCUGUCCACGUGCUGGGCAGCUGCCCAGUGAAAGCCAAUUAGAUAACUCCUUUGUUCCCCAAAAAUGAGAUGGGGCAGGCCACUGAGGUCAGCCAGGUCUCCCAAGGGCAGUGGAAGCCUUGAGGAUGGGCUGGAGGACCCUCAGACCACCAGCUGGAAAGCCGUGUCCUAGGGAGGCCUCGGCCCGCACUUCCCACCUCAGCCCUCCUCCUCUCUCUCAGCUUCUCCUUUCCUUCAUUUCUCUCUCCCUGCCUUCCUUCUUCCUUCUGUUUUUCCUCUCUUUCCCUUUUCAUCCAGUCCACACCGAGGCUUGGUACUGUCUUUGUAACCCGGAUGCUGUCCUCAGAAACCUUUAGGCCGGCUAACAAGCACCUGCUCUCGGGAGUUCAUUAUGUGGAUGCAAAUAUUGAGAUUGGAAGAUGAGGGGCAAAAUGGGAGUAAGCUUUGCUAAUCAGGUGUGGAAUGAAUCAACUUGUUUUCUGUGUCAGUCAUUAUUGCCAUCACAUCCCCGUGGCUCACCCGGGAAAACCCUUCCCGCCUCCACCCAUCUGCAGCCCUGCCUCCUCCUUGGGGGUGGCGUUGCUGGAGCCCCGAGGCUCGUUGCUUCCCUAGGGUUAGUGGGGCCUGCAGGAACUCACCUUGGUGCAGGCGAGGCAAGGUCAGUGAUGCCAGGUAAGAGCCUCAGACCACUGAAGAAGCCCAGCCUACUUCCCUAUUCCCAGAGCAUUCAGGGCUCCUCUUUCCCUUGGAUAGGGAAGCUUGUCCAUUCUGGCUCCCGGCUGUCUCCAAGAACACCCCUGAUUAGCUGGGCCCACCGCCAUCCAUCUCUAUUCAGCAGGGAAGGGAGGCCAUUCAUUCUAGGCCUUGAUGGAAGGGAUGCAGACUUAUCUUCCCAGAACAGCCUUCCUUGCCCCAACCUGGCCCCUCGGGGAAGGAGGGAACCCAAUCCACUUCGCAGGACCCGGACUCUCAGCUGGCAGAGCCGACAGCUGCAUCCUGGAGCCUGACGCUGGAAGCAGCUUCUGCCUUUGGACUCUCCUUGUUGCCUGGGCCCCUGCUGUUCAGUUUGCUGCUGUGUUUUUCUCCCUCAUUUGGGGGUGGUGGGGCACAGGGAAAUGAAAUGUUUCUCCCCAAGCCCCUAAUCCUCCCCCUUGCCCAUGCCAAACCUUAAAGCUGCUGAUGGUAAUGAACCGCAGCUUCCAGCCCUGCUCAUAAGCUGCUCAAAGCAAAUUCAAAUUCUCCUCUGGGUGGGAGGAAGGGCAGGUGCUCCUUCCUCAGUCCUCCUUUGCUAAUUGAUCCAUUUUGAGGGCAUUUGGGGGUCAAAAUUGAGACCAGAUUGCUUCAGCUGGUAUAAAAUUAGCAUUUCCCAUCACACCAAAGAUCCAGACUUCUUGCACCCAGGAAGAGGAGGUCUUCGUGCACCCGCACGCCCGUUCUCUGGCCUCUCAAACCCGUGAUGAUAUAAAGGUUUGUUGAGGUGGAGGAAGAGAAGGGAAACAUGCAAUUUGCUCCCUCUAGAAGUCAGUAGCUUCAGCUGUUCAUUCUGCUAACAUUUAUUUACUACCUACUAUGUGCAAAGCAUUGGCUCUACCUCAGUUUGUCACGACUGUCAAAAACAGUUCUUGCCACUGCGAAGCCUCGGCGCGUGUGGACAAAUAUAUAAAUAAACAGAUUGAUGGAAAAGAAAGUUUGGAUUCAGCUGAUUUUGGUUGCAGCCUUCCGUGUGUCCAGUCUCAGAGCCCCUGUCUUCCAAGCUCCAGCUACCCAGACCCAAUCAAUUGAAAACCAGGACCGUCCUGGGGCUCAUUUGUUUCCCCACCGCCCAGGGAAAAUAUGAGAAUGGGAACAAGAGACUGCACUGGGACCAGCAGACGUGAAAGCCCUGAGAUAAAAGGUUUGGGAUGGUCAGCAGAGGGGCCCUUGGAAGGACCUCCUCAUCUUUGAGGUGUGCAUUGUCUGUGUGUGGGGUGGUAUGUUUCUCUGGGUUUCUGAGCAGGCUGCAGGUUUGCCUUGGUGUAAUUGCAUGCCUGAAGGUGACAGCAAGGGUGUGCGUGUGUAAGUGAGCUGAAGGGGGUGGACAAGUGUUCCUGCCCCAGGCUUGUGUGCACUGGGCCCAGACGCCUGCACAGGAGCAGGUGUGUGUGUGUGUGUAUUGGAGGGGUGCUGUUCACGCGGAUCUGAACACAUAUCUGCAUACAUGACCCUCUGUGUAUGCAGGAGUGUGUGUACUCGCUGAAUUAUUAUAAAAUUACACUGACCCUUACAGAAAAUCCAUACUGGCCUCGGCCUCUCUCCCCCGACCUCUCGACCUCUGGGGUGCCUGAGGAAAGAGCUGACCGGGUCACCACCUCCCCCUAGUCAAUGAGUCUCUCUCCAUUAGCAUAAAACAUGAAUCUGCUGGCAGCUUGAC